Molecule: non-coding RNA, 446 nt
Organism: Musa acuminata subsp. malaccensis (wild Malaysian banana)
Lineage: Eukaryota; Viridiplantae; Streptophyta; Magnoliopsida; Zingiberales; Musaceae
Source: RefSeq, a predicted model, not a curated record
UGCGUGUGGCCUGCCGGGCGAAACUAAGUCCGGCGGCUACCCUUCUCGGCGCCCGCGAUCGCCAGAGAGAAGACGAGCGCGGGGUGUAAGGAGAAAUCUUCAGCAGCAGCUCAGGCUGUCUGGAUUGUCAGCACUGUUGUUGUGAGGGUUGUGGAUAAUCUUUCUUAAGGCAAAUGGCAAGGUUACUGUCAAACAUGGUACUAAGAGGCAUCGCCAGUUCCUCUAACAACACAAGGAGCAGGUUGCAUUUGGUCCAUCUUUUCUGAAACGGAUGAAGUUCUUAACCAAGGGAACUGAUGAUUCUGUUGUAAAUGAAGACCUUCCCACGAAUGGUUUUGCUUCUUCUGACACACACCCGACAAAGAUAACCAGUGAUCCUGUUACACAUAAAGACUUUCAGUCGACAAACAAAAGUACUGGCAUCUCUGUACUGGAUAUUGUGCAGC